This 484-nucleotide ribosomal RNA is filed under the name uncultured bacterium. RNAcentral's name for it is "partial 16S ribosomal RNA". It matches the Rfam family "Bacterial small subunit ribosomal RNA", at positions 28 to 523 of the family's 1533-position model. The record is from RNAcentral.
GAUGAACGCUGGCGGCGUGCUUAACACAUGCAAGUCGAACGGUGAAGCAGGAGCUUGCUCUUGUGGAUCAGUGGCGAACGGGUGAGUAACACGUGAGCAACCUGCCCCUGACUCUGGGAUAAGCGCUGGAAACGGCGUCUAAUACUGGAUAUGUGAUGUGACCGCAUGGUCUGCAUCUGGAAAGAAUUUCGGUUGGGGAUGGGCUCGCGGCCUAUCAGCUUGUUGGUGAGGUAAUGGCUCACCAAGGCGUCGACGGGUAGCCGGCCUGAGAGGGUGACCGGCCACAGUGGGACUGAGACACGGCCCAGACUCCUACGGGAGGCAGCAGUGGGGAAUAUUGCACAAUGGGCGGAAGGCUGAUGCAGCAACGCCGCGUGGGGGAUGACGGCCGUCGGGUUGUAAACCUCUUUUAGCAGGGAAGAAGCGAAAGUGACGGUACCUGCAGAAAAAGCACCGGCUAACUACGUGCCAGCAGCCGCAGUAA